This 208-nucleotide ribosomal RNA is filed under the name uncultured bacterium. RNAcentral's name for it is "partial 16S ribosomal RNA". It matches the Rfam family "Bacterial small subunit ribosomal RNA", at positions 568 to 774 of the family's 1533-position model. The record is from RNAcentral.
CGCGUAGGCGGCUUUGGAAGUCUGGUGUGAAAACGCUACCGCUCAACGGAGCGAUUGCGCUGGAAACUCCAAAACUUGAGUCAGGGAGAGGUGAACGGAAUACCUGGUGUAGCGGUGGAAUGCUUAGAGAUCAGGUAGAACAUCUGAGGCGAAGGCGGUUCACUGGCCCUUGACUGACGCUGAGGCGCGAAAGCGUGGGGAUCAAACG